AGGCACGCUUGACGUAACUGGGCCUGACGCGAUCUUGGCUGUGCCUAGGCCCACACUUCCAGUCUCGGAGAAGAAAAGAUUCAUCAUGAUUUUGUUUCGGAAGUUGAUUGGCUUCAUAAAAUACUGCUUGACAGUAGACCCCCACAACACUCCUCUGCUCUUCAUUUGACUGUGAAGGUUAUACUUGAAAAAUAUCCUUCCCGUUAUUCGUGUGGCAGGUGUGGAGGUGUGUGGCUUCAUGUUCCAAAGCCGCGACACACAUACGUACGUGCUUUCAGCGACGUUCAGCAGGGAGGUGUGCUUAUCGCCUCCCUCCAAGACAGGAAAAGGGCCAGUAUCAGGUGGUUGC
Long non-coding RNA from Scylla paramamosain (green mud crab), 349 nucleotides. RefSeq lists it as uncharacterized. Lineage: Eukaryota; Metazoa; Arthropoda; Malacostraca; Decapoda; Portunidae. The record is from RefSeq and is a predicted model, not a curated record. The transcript is spliced from 3 exons.